CCCACUAGGCAAAGGAUUGGUAGAGCAUGAGACUCUUAAUUUCAAGGUCAUGGGUUCAAGCCCCAUGCAUUGCAGAGGGU
Non-coding RNA from Podarcis lilfordi (Lilford's wall lizard), 80 nucleotides. The record is from the annotation of a GenBank genome assembly. NCBI's taxonomy places the organism in Eukaryota, Metazoa, Chordata, Lepidosauria, Squamata, Lacertidae.